Long non-coding RNA from Schistocerca americana (American grasshopper), 971 nucleotides. RefSeq lists it as uncharacterized. Lineage: Eukaryota; Metazoa; Arthropoda; Insecta; Orthoptera; Acrididae. The record is from RefSeq and is a predicted model, not a curated record. The transcript is spliced from 3 exons.
CGCUCCGUGUGGACAGCGCAGCGCAGCGCCCGUGUGUGUGUGAGAGAGAGCCCGCGUGCGGAACCGUCUGGGCCGCCCUGUCCGGUACCUCUCGCUGAGUGCGCGGGCCAACGAGUGCGCCACUCGGCCAGUCGGGAGCACUCGGCUGUGCGCCGCUCCGAAUAGUAUCGUUCCGCUCUGACUCUCGGAAUGUGUUUGUGACAGUGGGCCCGAGGACAUGGACCGACACCACUGUAACUAGAAAACAACCUCUCUGUCCCACAUUACAUACACAUACACACUGCAGUUUUGUUUCUGCCUGUCGUUUUGUCCGUCGCCGGCGCGCGGCCAGCCUCACCGCCAGCAGUAGGCAGAGCCCCAGGCGUCGCCGGAGCCGCCGACGCCGACGCCGACGCCGACGUCGUCCGGCAGCGGCUGCAGCACGCGCCCGGCGCCCGAGCGGCGAUGACCGGGCGCCCAACCGGCUGGAGGAGGGGUUGUUCCGCAGCAGACGAGCAGCUGAAGCAGCAGCAGCAGGCGGGCGAAAGGCGCGUUGCGACCAGCGGGGGCUGCGCCCGUAGCCGAAGCCCGAGCCGCCGAACCGGUGCCGCUGGCCGGCGCGAUAACCGCCGCUCGCAGAGAUAAGCGGGGCAGGCAGCAGCGCACCGCGCCCGAUCACCGGCCCGCGGACACUCAGUCGAGCGCGGGCAGCCAGUGCAGCCGCAGACGCACACGCACACGUACGCAGUCGCACGCACAGCACACAGUCGCCAGCGCGCCCCUCAUGGAGAUGCUGCAGAGCCUGAACGCGCUCGCCACCAAGCUCUCGCCGCAGACGGACAGCAACGCCAACAAGGUGGGCGGCGGCGUGGGCGGCGUGGGCGGCGUGUCGGUGAGCCAGCUGCGGCAGCUGCACAACAACAACCACCCGUACAGCAAGCCGCAGCGGCUGUCGCCCCAGCCGCAGCCGCAGGCCCAGCCUCAGGCGUCGC